This 60-nucleotide transfer RNA is filed under the name Exophiala aquamarina CBS 119918. It matches the Rfam family "tRNA", at positions 14 to 71 of the family's 71-position model. Rfam says of the family: Transfer RNA (tRNA) molecules are approximately 80 nucleotides in length. Their secondary structure includes four short double-helical elements and three loops (D, anti-codon, and T loops). Further hydrogen bonds mediate the characteristic L-shaped molecular structure. tRNAs have two regions of fundamental functional importance: the anti-codon, which is responsible for specific mRNA codon recognition, and the 3' end, to which the tRNAs corresponding amino acid is attached (by aminoacyl-tRNA synthetases). tRNAs cope with the degeneracy of the genetic code in two manners: having more than one tRNA (with a specific anti-codon) for a particular amino acid; and 'wobble' base-pairing, i.e. permitting non-standard base-pairing at the 3rd anti-codon position. The record is from Rfam by way of RNAcentral. Lineage: Eukaryota; Fungi; Ascomycota; Eurotiomycetes; Chaetothyriales; Herpotrichiellaceae.
AGAUGGUUAAGACUUAAUUUUUUCACAAUUAAAACGUGAGUUCAAAUCUCUCCUGGGUUA